RNAcentral lists this ribosomal RNA (109 nucleotides) under Jaculus jaculus (lesser Egyptian jerboa). The record is from RNAcentral. Lineage: Eukaryota; Metazoa; Chordata; Mammalia; Rodentia; Dipodidae.
ACAUGCAGCUAUAGCACCCUGAACUUGCAUGAUUUUGUCUGCUCUCAGAAGCUAAGCAGGAUCUGGCCUUGUAAGUACUUGGUUGAGAGAAUAAUAAAGAAUGUAGUUU